AUUGAACGCUGGCGGCAUGCCUUACACAUGCAAGUCGAACGGCAGCACGGGAGCAAUCCUGGUGGCGAGUGGCGAACGGGUGAGUAAUACAUCGGAACGUGCCCAAUAGUGGGGGAUAGCCCGGCGAAAGCCGGAUUAAUACCGCAUACGACCUGAGGGUGAAAGCAGGGGAUCGCAAGACCUUGCGCUAUUGGAGCGGCCGAUGUCAGAUUAGCUAGNGGUGGGGUAAAGGCCUACCAAGGCAACGAUCUGUAGUUGGUCUGAGAGGACGACCAGCCACACUGGGACUGAGACACGGCCCAGACUCCUACGGGAGGCAGCAGUGGGGAAUUUGGACAAUGGGGGCAACCCUGAUCCAGCAAUGCCGCGUGCAGGAAGAAGGCCU
RNAcentral lists this ribosomal RNA (385 nucleotides) under uncultured bacterium. RNAcentral's name for it is "bacterial SSU rRNA". It matches the Rfam family "Bacterial small subunit ribosomal RNA", at positions 29 to 417 of the family's 1533-position model. The record is from RNAcentral.